This 253-nucleotide ribosomal RNA is filed under the name uncultured bacterium. RNAcentral describes it as "partial 16S ribosomal RNA". It matches the Rfam family "Bacterial small subunit ribosomal RNA", at positions 524 to 776 of the family's 1533-position model. The record is from RNAcentral.
UACGAAGGUGGCGAGCGUUACUCGGAAUUACUAGGCGUAAAGGGCAGGUAGGUGGUUUGGUAAGUCUGUUGUGAAAGCUCCCGGCUUAACUGGGAGAGGCCAACGGAUACUGCCAGGCUUGAGUAUAGGAGAGGUUACUGGAAUUCCCGGUGUAGCGGUGAAAUGCGCAGAGAUCGGGAGGAACACCAAUGGCGAAAGCAGGUAACUGGACUAUUACUGACACUCAACUGCGAAAGCUAGGGGAGCAAACAGG